This 433-nucleotide ribosomal RNA is filed under the name uncultured bacterium. RNAcentral's name for it is "partial 16S ribosomal RNA". It matches the Rfam family "Bacterial small subunit ribosomal RNA", at positions 29 to 507 of the family's 1533-position model. The record is from RNAcentral.
AACGAACGCUGGCGGCAUGCCUAACACAUGCAAGUCGAACGAGACCUUCGGGUCUAGUGGCGCACGGGUGCGUAACGCGUGGGAACCUGCCCUUAGGUUCGGAAUAACUCCCCGAAAGGGGUGCUAAUACCGGAUAAUGUCUUCGGACCAAAGAUUUAUCGCCUUUGGAUGGGCCCGCGUUGGAUUAGCUAGUUGGUGGGGUAAAAGCCUACCAAGGCGACGAUCCAUAGCUGGUCUGAGAGGAUGAUCAGCCACACUGGGACUGAGACACGGCCCAGACUCCUACGGGAGGCAGCAGUGGGGAAUAUUGGACAAUGGGCGAAAGCCUGAUCCAGCAAUGCCGCGUGAGUGAUGAAGGCCUUAGGAUUGUAAAGCUCUUUUACCCGGGAUGAUAAUGACAGUACCGGGAGAAUAAGCUCCGGCUAACUCCGUG